GAGACACCCCUCCGGGGCAAGACUUGCUUCAGUGGGGCUUUGGUGCUCACUGAGUCUGCCCUCUGAGUGUGUCCUU
This is a non-coding RNA of Myotis lucifugus (little brown bat), 76 nucleotides long. The record is from Rfam. Lineage: Eukaryota; Metazoa; Chordata; Mammalia; Chiroptera; Vespertilionidae.